Molecule: ribosomal RNA, 253 nt
Filed under: uncultured prokaryote
Description: partial 16S ribosomal RNA
Rfam family: Bacterial small subunit ribosomal RNA
Source: RNAcentral
UACGGGGGGGGCAAGCGUUGUUCGGAAUUACUGGGCGUAAAGGGCUCGUAGGCGGCCAACUAAGUCGGACGUGAAAUCCCUCGGCUUAACUGGGGAACUGCGUCCGAUACUGGAUGGCUUGAGUUCGGGAGAGGGAUGUGGAAUUCCGGGUGUAGCGGUGAAAUGCGUAGAUAUCCGGAGGAACACCGGUGGCGAAGGCGGCUUCCUGGACCGACACUGACGCUGAGGCGCGAAAGCUAGGGGAGCAAACGGG